GAUAAACGCUAGCGGCAGGCUUAACACAUGCAAGUCGAGGGGCAGCAUAGAUUGUAGCAAUACAAUUGGUGGCGACCGGCGCACGGGUGCGUAACGCGUAUGCAACCUACCCGUCACAGGGGGAUAAUCCGGAGAAAUCUGGUCUAAUACCCCAUAACAUAUGGAUCGGCAUCGGUUCAUGUUGAAAUUUUCGGAGGUGACGGAUGGGCAUGCGUAGCAUUAGCUUGUUGGUGAGGUAACGGCUCACCAAGGCGACGAUGCUUAGGGGGACUGAGAGGUUUUCCCCCCACACUGGUACUGAGACACGGACCAGACGCCUACGGGAGGCAGCAGUGAGGAAUAUUGGUCAAUGGGCGCAAGCCUGAACCAGCCAUGCCGCGUGCUGGAUGACGGCUCUAUGAGUUGUAAACUGCUUUUGUACGAGGGUAAAGUGGGUUACGUGUAACCUUUUGAAAGUAUCGUACGAAUAAGGAUCGGCUAACUCCGUGCCAGCCGCCGCGGUAA
Molecule: ribosomal RNA, 504 nt
Filed under: uncultured bacterium
Lineage: Bacteria
Description: partial 16S ribosomal RNA
Rfam family: Bacterial small subunit ribosomal RNA
Source: RNAcentral